RNAcentral lists this ribosomal RNA (253 nucleotides) under uncultured bacterium. RNAcentral's name for it is "partial 16S ribosomal RNA". It matches the Rfam family "Bacterial small subunit ribosomal RNA", at positions 524 to 776 of the family's 1533-position model. The record is from RNAcentral.
UACGUAGGGCGCGAGCGUUGUCCGGAAUUAUUGGGCGUAAAGAGCUCGUAGGCGGCCUGUUGCGUCCGCUGUGAAAUCCCAGGGCUCAACCCUGGGCGUGCAGUGGAUACGGGCAGGCUGGAGGCAGGCAGGGGAGAACGGAAUUCCCGGUGUAGCGGUGAAAUGCGCAGAUAUCGGGAGGAACACCAGUGGCGAAGGCGAUCUUCUGGACGGAUACUGACGCUGAGGCGCGAAAGCUAGGGGAGCAAACGGG